GACGAAGGUGGCGAGCGUUGUUCGGAAUCACUGGGCUUAAAGCGCAUGGCGGCGGCCUGUCAAGUGUCUUGUGAAAUCCCCCGGCUCAACCGGGGAAUUGCUGGGCAAACUGAUGGGCUUGAGGCAGGUAGGGGCGAGUGGAACUCUUGGUGGAGCGGUGGAAUGCGUAGAUAUCAAGAGGAACGCCGGAGGUGAAGACGACGCGCUGGGCCUGUCCUGACGCUGAGAUGCGAAAGCCAGGGGAGCAAACGGG
This 253-nucleotide ribosomal RNA is filed under the name uncultured bacterium. RNAcentral's name for it is "partial 16S ribosomal RNA". It matches the Rfam family "Bacterial small subunit ribosomal RNA", at positions 524 to 776 of the family's 1533-position model. The record is from RNAcentral.